UACCAGACUCCUACGGGAGGCAGCAGUGAGGAAUAUUGGUCAAUGGGCGAGAGCCUGAACCAGCCAAGUCGCGUGAGGGAAGACGGUCCUACGGAUUGUAAGCCUCUUUUGUCAGGGAGCAAGGAGCGCCACGAGUGGUGCGGCGAGAGUACCUGAAGAAAAAGCAUCGGCUAACUCCGUGCCAGCAGCCGCGGUAAUACGGAGGAUCCGAGCGUUAUCCGGAUUUAUUGGGUUUAAAGGGAGCGUAGAUGGGUUGUUAAGUCAGUUGUGAAAGUUUGCGGCUCAACCGUAAAAUUGCAAUUGAUACUGGCAGUCUUGAGUACAGUUGAGGUAGGCGGAAUUCGUGGUGUAGCGGUGAAAUGCUUAGAUAUCACAAAGAACCCCGAUUGCGAAGGCAGCUUACUAAACUGUGACUGACAUUGAUGCUCGAAAGUGUGGGUAUCAAACAGGAUUAGAUACCCUUGUAACA
RNAcentral lists this ribosomal RNA (469 nucleotides) under uncultured bacterium. Its description in RNAcentral is "bacterial SSU rRNA". It matches the Rfam family "Bacterial small subunit ribosomal RNA", at positions 329 to 795 of the family's 1533-position model. The record is from RNAcentral.